This 1479-nucleotide ribosomal RNA is filed under the name Chryseobacterium sp. 7. Its description in RNAcentral is "bacterial LSU rRNA". It matches the Rfam family "Bacterial large subunit ribosomal RNA", at positions 1 to 1559 of the family's 2925-position model. The record is from RNAcentral. Lineage: Bacteria; Pseudomonadati; Bacteroidota; Flavobacteriia; Flavobacteriales; Weeksellaceae.
UAGGAAAGAAAUCGUUAAGGGCGUAUGGCGGAUGCCUAGGCUUUCAGAGGCGAAGAAGGACGUGGUAAGCUGCGAAAAGCUGCGGGGAUUGGCACACACGAAUUGAUCCGCAGAUGUCCGAAUGGGGCAACCCAAUACAUUGAAGAUGUAUUACCUCUUAGGAGGAGCAAACCCGGAGAACUGAAACAUCUAAGUACCCGGAGGAAAAGAAAUCGAAGAGAUUCCGUAAGUAGUGGCGAGCGAAAGCGGAUUAGCCCAAAAGCUAAUAUAUGUUUAAUAGAAUGUUCUGGAAAGAACAGCCAUAGAGGGUGAUAGCCCCGUAUAUGAAAGGCAUAUUUGAGUGAUAAAUGAGUAGGGCGGGACACGUGAAAUCCUGUCUGAAUAUGGGGGGACCAUCCUCCAAGGCUAAAUACUCCUGAAAGACCGAUAGUGAACAAGUACUGUGAAGGAAAGGUGAAAAGCACUUCGAAUAGAAGGGUGAAAUAGAACCUGAAACCGUACGCCUACAAGCGGUCGGAGCAGCAUUAAGCUGUGACGGCGUGCCUUUUGCAUAAUGAGCCUACGAGUUAAUUUUACUAGCGAGGUUAAGGUAUUAAGUACCGGAGCCGGAGCGAAAGCGAGUCUGAAUAGGGCGCAUAGUUAGUAGGAUUAGACGCGAAACCUUGUGAUCUACCCAUGGGCAGGUUGAAGCUCUGGUAACACAGAGUGGAGGACCGAACCGGUUGACGUUGAAAAGUCUUCGGAUGACCUGUGGGUAGGGGUGAAAGGCCAAUCAAACUGGGAGAUAGCUCGUACUCCGAAAUGCAUUUAGGUGCAGCGUCGAUGUUAAGUUUAUUAGAGGUAGAGCUACUGAUUGGAUGCGGGGGUUUCACCACCUACCAAUUCCUGACAAACUCCGAAUGCUAAUAAAUGUUCGUCGGCAGUGAGGGCAUGGGUGCUAAGGUCCAUGUCCGAGAGGGAAAGAACCCAGACCAACAGCUAAGGUCCCAAAAAAGUUGAAGCAACGCGGUUGGACUGCAUUGACAGCUAGGAUGUUGGCUUGGAAGCAGCCAUUCAUUUAAAGAGUGCGUAACAGCUCACUAGUCGAGCGGUCCGGCAUGGAUAAUAAUCGGGCAUAAACAUAUUACCGAAGCUAUGGAUUUAUAUUUUAGAUAUAUCUGGUAGGAGAGCAUUCUAUUUGCGCCGAAGCAGUACUGUGAGGUAUUGUGGAGCGGAUAGAAAAGAAAAUGUAGGCAUAAGUAACGAUAAAGCAGGCGAGAAACCUGCUCACCGAAAGACCAAGGCUUCCUCAGCCAUGCUAAUCAGCUGAGGGUUAGUCGGGACCUAACGCGAACCCGAAAGGGGUAGUGGAUGGACAAUGGGUUAAUAUUCCCAUACUUGCUCACGAAUAAAGGGACGGUUGGAUGUAGCUGCUGGAGACUGACGGAAUAGUCAAGGCCUAGCCUUCGGGCGAAGCUGCUGCAGUGUAAUCUGAUCCAA